Molecule: long non-coding RNA, 556 nt
Organism: Callithrix jacchus (white-tufted-ear marmoset)
Lineage: Eukaryota; Metazoa; Chordata; Mammalia; Primates; Cebidae
Source: RefSeq, a predicted model, not a curated record
GAAAUAAUCCGCUUACUCCUGGUCUGUCCGCAGCACUUUAUAUCAAGUAACACUCGCUUCCUGAACAGAGCCGCAGCAAAAGGCAGCCUCUGCCCCAGCCCUGUGCUUCUACUUCACCGAGUGUGCGACAAUUACUGCAGAUGCCUGUGACAGAGCCAGGCGAGGCGAGGAACAAGAGUGCAUCACAGGCUUCUGAAAACGGAGUCCUGCUAGGUUGCCCAGACUGGUCUCAAAUGCCUGGCCUCAAGUGAUCCUCCUGCCUUAGCCUCCCAAAGUGCUGGGAUUACAGGUGUGAGACACUGUGCUCGGCCAUAAAUUAAAUGACGACAUGGGCAGAACUGAGAUUCACCGUAGCACUUCCUUAAUGAAGAAGCCAGAGGAUGAACACCACCAUGUCCAGGAUAUGAAGGCCUCUCAUCCCUUUCCCUGCCAAUGAGUUCUGCAUCUGAUGGAUGAAUGUCAGGCAUGGAAUUAAAAUGAGAUGAUCACCAAGGACUAUGGGGAAGGCAUCUCUAUGGAGAGGUUUUACAUUCAGAAUAAAAUCCUUUUUGGUGAA